This 232-nucleotide ribosomal RNA is filed under the name uncultured bacterium. RNAcentral's name for it is "partial 16S ribosomal RNA". It matches the Rfam family "Bacterial small subunit ribosomal RNA", at positions 333 to 562 of the family's 1533-position model. The record is from RNAcentral.
CGGUGCUUACGGGGGGCAGCAGUGAGGAAUAUUGGUCAAUGGGCGGGAGCCUGAACCAGCCAAGUCGCGUGAAGGAAGAAGGUACUUAGUAUUGUAAACUUCUUUUGUCGGGGAACAAAGGCGGAGACGCGUCUUCGGAUGAGUGUACCCGAAGAAAAAGCAUCGGCUAACUCCGUGCCAGCAGCCGCGGUAAUACGGAGGAUGCGAGCGUUAUCCGGAUUUAUUGGGUUUA